GCCAUUCUUCACCACCAUCCCAGUGCCGAUCCAACCGAGGGAGGAAGCUCCAGCUCUCCCUCUCCACCUCUCUUUCGUCGCCGGCCGCCAAGAAGAGGGACAUCGCCAACCGUCGUCGAGCCCUCUUCAUCUCUAACUCAUACUCGUUCCAUUCUCAUCUCACCAUGACGAACAACUUUGGUUUUGAUCCCAUUCCAUUUCAUCUUCUACAGCAGCGGGAACGCCGCCAUGUCAUGGUCGCUCUAGAGCGCGCUCUGUGCACCGCCGCAGCGACAUCAUCGCCGUUCCCGCUUAUCUGGACCAAGCCGGGCCAAGCUGUCGCGCCAGCGUCUUCGCCUCGACCUCCUCUCCAUUUCCCCUCAAUAAUCUCGAAGGAUGGUGCUACGAGUGUGGAGAUCGUCCACCGUCUUCUCCACCUCCGGUCACCGUCGCCGUUGCCGAAUCCACCCCCUCCGUUCUUGGAGCUGAUUGAGCCAUCGCCGUUCACCCGGAGGUUCUUGCCGCCGCCGAGCCGUUACACGAGCCACCGUCAUAAACCUAGCUACCCCAGCCAUGUCUACCAUCUCGGUGAGCACCCUUCAGCCUAUAGAACAUACAUGCAUGCACCCAAUUAACCAAUACAUGAUUGUAGAAGCACAUGCAUCACCACCCGAAAACAUCCUCCUUUCGGACUCGCCGCCGGCGUUACUCCGAUGUCCACUGACCGAGAAAAGUAGAGGAAUGGAAUCGCAAUAGCAUGAUCUUCAUUUUGUCUUUUGGUCGCACCCUCAAACGAGCCAUCGUUUGUCGCCGGUGAGCUCGAGAUUGAGCUCAGCCAUGGCUGUUCUGCCUCUCUGCGUGAGAAAAGAAGUCAGGGACCUUGUUUCGAGAAUUUAAACAACUAUAAGGUUUAAUGUGCAACUUUUCAACUCACUGACAUAUGAGCCUAGGUCUGCGGGUUGAUUCUUAGAAACCUCAGGGAUCUUUUUGUAUAUUGAUCUUUCACUGACAGUGGACCCCUUGGAAACAAAAAUCUGAAAUUAUAAAAGGAAAGUACCUAAAACUUGUAAAAUCCAUAUAAAAUUAAAUAUAGCUCAUUUUAAGAUGAUUCAAAUUUCUGUGAACUCACCAAAUUGGGAGCUUUGAUGUUAUGGAAUAAAAACUUCCACUCACAGUACAAAUUUAGCCUCUAAAAUUUAUCCAAGUUAAAUCACACAUAAAGCACGCACAAAAUUUAUAAAAUGCAUACAGAAUUCAUUUCAACUCAUUUUGGAGCAAACUCAGUUUCUACAGAUCCACCAACUUAUGUUCUCCUAUAAAGCAAAAUGAAAUAGCAUACAUACUAUACAUCAAAUGCCUCUAAAACUAUUACCUUUAAAUGACUAGUUUUAGAUAAGCUGAAUUUUAGAAGUUCAUAUAAAAUUCAUCUUAGAUCUUUUUUUAGUAAACCCAAGUUCUGUAGAAUCACCAAAACAUAUACUUCCAAAUUAUAAAAUAAAAUUAUAUACUUACUGUAUGAUAAAAGCCUCUAAAUACUUAUGUAAGUAAUAACCAUCAUAGAGCAACCUUAAAUUGUAAAAUUUGUAGAAAAUUCAUCUUUAGUCUAAAUGAAGUGAACCAAAUAUCUAUAGAACCAGCAAACAGUGGGCUUCAACAUAGUAAAAUAAAAUAUGGAACCUUCUGUACAGGUUAUAGCUCUAAACUUUAAAUUUAUAGGAUAGGUGCUAAUCACAUAGUAUCGAUUGAGCAAUAUGUAUAUAUAUAAAUGUAUAUAGAAAUACACUCUAGCUAUAAUGAAACUCAAAUAAAACUUGUUAGACCAGUGAAUGCAUAGUUCCAUUCCCAUCCACCAAAACUUAAGGCACUUAGCUCAUAUAAUAAUUUCUAGGUUGAUAUAAUAAAUUGCUAACAUGGACUAGAGCUCCCCUAGUUUAUAAAAUAUGAACCAUGAUAAUAAA
Non-coding RNA from Oryza sativa Japonica Group (Japanese rice), 1937 nucleotides. The record is from RefSeq and is a predicted model, not a curated record. Lineage: Eukaryota; Viridiplantae; Streptophyta; Magnoliopsida; Poales; Poaceae.